This 4337-nucleotide long non-coding RNA is filed under the name Homo sapiens (human). Its description in RNAcentral is "non-protein coding lnc-CLVS1-1:6". Lineage: Eukaryota; Metazoa; Chordata; Mammalia; Primates; Hominidae. The record is from RNAcentral.
UAGAAACCAACAACCUCAGUGACUGAAGGAAGAUGAGUUGGACAAGAAAAAGUGAAAGAGGCACAUCUCAGGAUGGGGCAAUAUUUGGUGAGAACCAUAUUGGAUUCUACCAAAUUACAAAUAUAUUCCAGGUAAGAACUAUGUCCAUUCAACUGCACUUUGAGAUGUUAGAUUUAAUGCAAGGCUAAUGAGGCCAAGCCGUAGGUUUCAUUUUCACAGGAGCCAAUUAACCUUACUACUAUAUCCACAGAUUUUACCCCAAUCCUGGUUUCCCACCUUGAAAAUGAGUGCCAGGGGUCAUAAGGAAGACUGAAAGAGAACAUAGAGAGUUCAGUGCAAAUCUAUUGCCGUUACCAGACAGUAAUUCAACAGCUUCAUCUUUGAACCAUUAGGUGAGCUUCUAUUAGGUGAAGUUCCAUUAGGUAAACAAUUAGGUGCAUUCUAGAUACAGCUAGAAUACAACUAGUCCAGAACUAGCUCUUUUCAAGGAUGUUAUAUGUAAAAAUCUCUUUAGCUUCAAGUGAAACAGGGUUAAGCAGCUGUAAACCGUGAUGAAUACUAGAGAAUUCCUUAAGCAGUGAAGUCUUUCCUUAAAUAAACACCACUCAGCUGGUUGGAGUUAGUAAUUCUGAGAGAAGUAAAGUAUACCUGCUGAUUGUUCUAUGACAUGAAUAAGCCUUGGAGAAGAUCUUGAAAGCACUUGGGAGAGGUUGGAUAAAUUGAUAUAUGCUGACUGUCUUAGUCCAGUCAUCCGGCUAGAACCAAAUCCCAGAGACUGAGGGGCUUAUCAACAACAUACAUUUAUUGCUCACAGUUCUGGAGACUGGGAACUCCAUGAUCAAGGUGCAGGCAGUUUCAAUGUCUGGUGAGGCCCUGGUUCCUGGUCCAUAGAUGGUGUCUUCUAGCUGCAUCAUCACAUGGAAGGGGGAGGAGUCUCUUUCAGGCCUCUUUUAUAAGGGUCCUAAUCUCAUGAUCUAAUUACCUCUCAAAGGUCCCACCUCCUACUACAAUGGCUUUGGGGUAUAAGAUUUCCACAUAAGAAUUUGGGGAGGACACAAACAUUCUGACCAUAGUACAAAUUAUCGCAUUUACCUGGUGACAUCUUAGAGCAGACAAAAAUUUUAAAAAUUCCAUUAGAGAAAAAUGCAUCAUGCUCUUGGGGAAAUUUUUGAAAUGAUACCAAAUAUUUGUCACUGAGAAUCUGCACUGAUAACAUUUACUUUCUGUGUGCUUAUGUGCUUGCUUUUAAGGUUGGCCUGAUCACUCACUCACCACUCCCUGCAACUCCAUGGAGAAGAUAUAAGCUGUCAAAAAUGUAUUUGUGAGUCUGAUGAGCUCUUUCACCCAGGUGACAGGGGUUUCUGCCAUAUUAAUAUUCUUCUUCUUCUCCACCUUUUGUGUUUCAAUGCUGGGCCUGGAGAAGGCAGGGACCUUGGCUCUUCCACGGUGGCUGUUCAUCAGCACUCACACAUCCACCACACCGGUUUAGUCGCACGCUGGAAGGUAAAUGUGUACCAUGGAAGAUAUCGGGCUGUUUUUGUAGCAUCUGGAUUGCCACUGCCCCCUCCCCUCCACUACCCCAAGUCCUCUUUUCUCCUCUUUGGAGAAGACACAGUUCAGGCUAAGAGCUCAUGUUUGAGGCCUCGCUGAGUUGCUGUUUGAUAUUGUUCUUGCUUCUUACCACAUUGGUGGCAUUGAAUGUCCUUAUUGAUUUUUGCCUGAUUGGUCUAACUUAGAACAGGAUCAGCUUCAUAAAUGGGACAUCUUGUGGGCUGAAAUAUGAGAUUUGUUUUAACAAACCACUCCUAACCAUCAUCUCUUUAAGGGAAGCCAGGAAAGGCAAUUGCUGAAUUUCUUCUUGGCCUUCUCUCUGGUUAUCCCUCUCACUCCUCCUACUUUUCCUUUUCUCUUUCAGGCUGCUUUCUCCUACUAGUUACAAAACAAACAAAAAACAAACAAACAAAAAAAACAAAACAAAACAAAAACUAAACUAAACCAAAAACAAUAAAUGCCAAACAAUACUCAAAGAACUACCAAAUUAUUCCCUGGGCCCCUGAAUCAGAUGGAGCUGAAUCAUUCUGGCUGCUAACUGAGUGAAGGGUGUUGGGGAAAAGUGCCAUUGUGUAAGUUAAGGAAAGGGUCAGAGAACCGAAAAGACGGCAGCUGUAUGAAAGGGCUUCUGUGCUGGGAUUCUCCUUUUAAGCUAUCCAAAGGCACAAAUCAAGAACCGCAACCUUGGAGAUAUGACAAAUGAACACAAUUCUGGUUUUUUGUUUUAUUUUAAAGUGAAAUUCCACUGUUUCCCAAGAAUUUGCACAUGAAGCUUUACAUAUUUUUCAUGUCAGCCCCCUUCCUUGCCACCUUUGUUUUCCAGCCUGCCUCCCCUUAACAGCUGGACACAUCACCGUUCCAUUUUUCUAUUAGUUGUGACUGAAGUAGCUUGAGGUCAAUUAUUUCCCCAGCAAUUGACAAAGAAUCUUGAUGAAGAGGAAAGUGACAUUGUCCCUUGAACAACACUGCUCCCUCCUCCCCCUGCCCUCCCGGCUGAGAGGAGAGAGCAGGGCAGACUUUCCUUUUGCAAGGAGCCCAGCAGGGCGGUGGCGGUGGGGUCUGUGGAAGUGCGUGGGUAACAUAUGGUAAGUGGAGAAAAUAUUUAUAUUCAUGGUGAAAGAGCAGGAGAAGAUCCAAAGAAGGUCAUUCCACAGAGAUUUCAAGCAAGAGACACUGACUUGAUAUUGUAUCUUUGACCUGGAUACAACAGAGAAUUUAAAGAAAGAGUUUUCUUUUGUGGCUUUCCUGCCACCGUUACUUCCAACAAUCCGAAUUAUUGGCAAUUUAAAAAAGAAAAGAUUCCGCCCACUAAACUUGAUAAAAGUAUCACACUGGCCCUUCCCCGGGCCCUGGCCAGGCUGCCACGCCUUCUCCCCUCCCCCUGCGCCAGGUCCCCAAAUCCAGAAUUCGGAGCCGCGGUCACUGAGCCUGUGCCUUGGGCCUGCGGGCGGUGUUUGUUGUUGUGACUGGGCGGCUAGGUGAGACGGAGCGCACGGGCAGAGUGCGCAUUUGGGGCGACUGGUUCUUGGGGGAAGAUAUAAAUAAUGAAUCGGUGUUAGAUUAUUUUCUGAUGAGACACAUGAAACCUCCAGUGCUUUCAGCAGGCAUUUUGCAUCACAGCUUCCUAAGAAAGGUAAAAGGCCCUCUUUCGGUCCCCCAGUGGCAAAAUUCGCAGCUGUCGCCCAGCACCACAAUCAAAUGCGUGCGGGGCUGCGGGACAGAGGCGUCCUCGCGUACCCUCGGACAGACCCACAGCUGUCUGGCGGAUACACACGUGCGCGUCUGGUCGACCGGACCAGCAGCUGCUUGCGUCCCCUCUCCCGCGCACGGUGGCGGCCCCGCACCAAGACCCGCUGAGGAAACGAAGAGUAGGGUCAUUUCCCAUCUUGCCGUCGAAAGUUUAUCCCAUUUCCCGGGUGUGCAGGAAGAGAUGGCGCGAGGGCAGGAAGGUGUGAAACUGGGGUUCUGCGGGAGACCCACCGUGGCUCUAUAUUCACUCUCGUUUGAAAACUGCCAGCGUUCCACUCCCCCUAAAUUCCAGUUCCCGAGGGGGAGGUAGUGAGAUGGGAUACAGGUGCGUCUGGGUCCUCGCUUGGGAGGGGUUCUCCCACUUUGGGACCCCUCGUGGAGCAGCCCAUAACCGACCGGCCUGCUGUACAGAGGCCAUGCUUAAUGGAUUCUCGCAGAUAAAAGGGCCUGGCUACCUUUCUUUCCUAUAAUGGCCCCUGAGGCUAAUGUCUUAAAGAGGAAACAAAGGGAUUGUUUUACAGCACACAAGGGGGGUGGCGGGAGGAACAGGGAGAGGAGGAGGAAGGGGCAUUGGAUACGCGGAGCGGGAGGAGGCCUCCCGCUUCUUAACCCUUCACCUCCUGCGACCGCCCAGGUCUCCCGAGCUCCGCACCCUCAUCCAGGACCCGAAACAGCGGGGAGGAGGCGACAGUGCGUGGAGGGCCCCGCCCUGUGACUCGACCUCCAGCUCUCCUCACCUCCUUCCCCGUCUUUUUAAAGAACUUCUGAAAGGGAGAACGGAAAAGAUGAGGGGACCCAUAUCUCGUGAGCUGCAGUUCUGAAAAGUCAGUUCUAGAGGGGUCGUCUCUCGCGAGGCCCGGGUGCCCACACAGGAUCGACGCGUGGCAGUGCCACCUGGGCCCGGACUCUGGGACUGCGGGAGGCGGGAGCGCCUGGGGCCAGGACCUGGGCGUACGCUGAGGGCACCCGGUGAAGGCCGGGGAAAGUGGGGCAGCUCCGAAAUGCGGCCUGCACGUCGCCCUGGGAGUCGUUCCCGG